UUUUUUCUUCUUUUAUUUGUGUUGAUCUGAGCACCGCCCUAGCGAACUAUUGGGUUGAGGGACCCAGCCCAGACAACUUUGGAGUAGAGUCACUUCCAAUAGCUUCAGUAAAGCUCUUAAAAUACGAGAAAUAUCAAUCGGUGGAAAUUUCUGUGGUUGGUUCUUGAACCGAUUCCAUUUCAGGUUCCCCAAGACAACAAUGAAUGGACUCUUUCUGGGGAGGUUGAGGGAAGGAUAAAGCAGCUAAGGCAGGAUAUCAUUGUUGUAAGCCUCCUUCACUGCAUUAGAUUAGCGCCCUAUUGAUCGUGUCUUCGGAGGGUUGGAGAAGCGUUAAAUACUCCUUUAGGAAAGAACUCCUUGCCAUCUUUACGCCUUACAUGCGGCAUAAAUUGCAUAAAUUAAAGUAGAGGUCACAAGAUGACCUAAAGUCCAGAAAAAACCCACUCUCCCCCGGGAGUGCUUUCGAGAACACAUGCACCGGUUAUUGCAUCAACAUCUUCUACAGAUAGUUUACCAAGAAUAGCAAAGGAGAUUCCACCAAGAACUUCUAUUGCUAAAAGAGCUAAUUCAAGUGCAGUACUUACUGUAACAAGAACAACGUGAACUCAUUCUCAAGCACUUGCAGCGACAAUGUGGUAUUCUCUUCCACGCAGCCUUUUCCUGACGAAAUUUCUAGUGGGGUUUACUCUGGUAUAGGCGUGAACCAUAUUUACAGAGAAGCAAACUCUUCUGCAGAUUCUAUAGCCGGCUCCUCCCUUUCUGGUUUGCAUGUCUUUCAUUCUGAAUUGCCUCCUUUGACUCGUGCAUGCUUGCGUUUAGAUAGGUUAGAUACUUCUUAUAUUAGGAGAAUUAUUGUAAAGGAGUAGUAAGGGAGUGAAACCCCGAUCUAAUCUUACACGUGCGAGGACAGUCCUCUGAAUAGAGUCCAUUGCAUCCCACAAUAAUCGACGGGCAGCCCUCGUACAUUUAGCAUAAACCGCUGAAAACUCGAAAGUCUGUCCACUCUGAGUGGGCAGAGCCUUAUUACCUUAUUAAUAGGAGGGAUGCAAGGAAUUGAUGCUACGAAUGCCAUAGCAAGUGAAUCAGAAUAAGCCCUAGCCCAGCUACUGAUUGGAAAGGUUUAAAUAAGAGUGUGCCUAGCGUCUUUCGCUCUCUCUUAUUAGAAGAAGGAAGGGGCGCGACCCCACUCAGCUCGAAGAAGUAGCUCUUUCAACUAAUCCAUACUUUUCCUCUCCAACCAGUCAAGUGGCCCAAGGGCCACCUCAAUCUUAUUCUGUUUCCGAUCCUGCUUCAGAUUCUCUUUCAGUUGUGGAAACAAGCCCCUAUUCCUAUCGGUUGAGUAGCCCAAGCUCCUUAAAGCGUAUUGUCCCCUCUCCUGUGAAAGAAAGAGGUUGAUGCACCCAGCUACCCGAAGUAGAGCUUUCUUUGUCCCACCUUUCCUUACUGACUUUCCUAGUUUAGAUAGCGUAUUGAGAAUCAUGUCAAAAUACACCAAGACCUGGGCCCAGGUUCUCUUUCUUCAAGAAAGGGUAGCUUUAAACAACCCGGUUCCAAACACACCAAACAAGCAAGCGACUCCCCUUCCUUAGCGUACCCGUCCAUUAAGGCAUUCUUCCUUCUUGCGUAUGUGUUAUAGCUCAUAGCUCUAAGCCCCAAUUCCUUGGUGAAAAGAGCUGUCGCCUUUAAAUCAUCGAAAAAAGAAAAGAAGGAACCGCUCGAAAGGGACCACACAACAAUGGCUCAUAACUGGAAAACAUAACAACAAUGUCUCCUAGCUGCAAAAGAAUGGCUCCCAACUGAAAAUUUCUCUCGAUCACUCUCUAACAGAAAGCCAUUUUCCCUUUCGCAAAAAGUCAACUUGGACUUCUUUCCUAAGCGGAGAUUUGGACUACAUGGACCUAAGCAACCCGCCGACAGGGGCAGCCUUUCACUGUUGGAAACUUUGAUUUAGAUUGGUAGGAUUCUGUCUAAUCUUUCCUAAUUUCGAAAUUGCACUCAAUCAACAUAGUUUCCACUCAUUCCUUCUCGACCGCCUCUUUUCUAGUCACUUUUGAUCAAAUCUUUCUUGUGAUUUUCUAUUCUCUUAUGAGAAAUGGUUUGCUUCGUUUGAGCCGUCGUCGCUUAAUGCAUGUAGGGGGGCUGGGGCUUUUCCCCCACGACCCCUUUUAAAGGAGAACCAGAAGAACAACAAUGAACUCAAAGCUAAUGAAGGAGAUCCGCAACUUGAACAAGGUAGACGGGAUCUUUCCUACCCCUUUCUAUUUCGACUUCUUUGAAAGGUGAAAGAGUAAGAAGCUAGACCGACUUGCUCUUAAAUUAAAAGCAGCAAGAGCAAGUAAGUAGGCUUUUCUCCGCAAGAACAAUCUUGACUUUCUUUAUACUUUAUAAUAUAAGGCCCUUUAAACGAUCGUAAAUGGCCUGAAAUGUAACGACCUAUGAGAGAGGGGUUUUUAGAAAAGAAAGCGUACCAAUCCGGCAAACAAAGCAAAAACAACGGCUCCUACAUAAAUACAAUAGAAUAGAAAUGCUGUCUGUCACUAGCAAGUAAGUAGGCUUUUCUCCACAAGAACAAUCUUGACUUUCUUUAUACUUUAUAAUAUAAGGCCCUUUAAACGAUCGUAAAUGGCCUGAAAUGUAACGACCUAUGAGAGAGGGGUUU
Molecule: long non-coding RNA, 2659 nt
Filed under: Capsicum annuum
Lineage: Eukaryota; Viridiplantae; Streptophyta; Magnoliopsida; Solanales; Solanaceae
Description: long non-coding RNA (CANN_LNC000543)
Source: RNAcentral